This 700-nucleotide ribosomal RNA is filed under the name uncultured bacterium. RNAcentral describes it as "bacterial SSU rRNA". It matches the Rfam family "Bacterial small subunit ribosomal RNA", at positions 94 to 793 of the family's 1533-position model. The record is from RNAcentral.
ACCGGCGCACGGGUGCGUAACGCGUAUGCAAUCUACCUUGUACAGGGGAAUAGCCCAGAGAAAUUUGGAUUAAUGCCCCAUAGUAUAUAACCUUUGCAUGUUGGUUAUAUUAAAGUUCCAACGGUACAAGAUGAGCAUGCGUCCCAUUAGUUAGUUGGUAAGGUAACGGCUUACCAAGACGAUGAUGGGUAGGGGUCCUGAGAGGGAGAUCCCCACACUGGUACUGAGACACGGACCAGACUCCUACGGGAGGCAGCAGUGAGGAGUAUUGGUCAAUGGUCGCAAGACUGAACCAGCCAUGCCGCGUGCAGGAAGACGGUCCUAUGGAUUGUAAACUGCUUUUAUACAGGAAGAAACCCUCCCACGUGUGGGAGCUUGACGGUACUGUGGGAAUAAGGAUCGGCUAACUCCGUGCCAGCAGCCGCGGUAAUACGGAGGAUCCAAGCGUUAUCCGGAAUCAUUGGGUUUAAAGGGUCCGUAGGCGGUCUUAUAAGUCAGUGGUGAAAGCCCAUCGCUCAACGAUGGAACUGCCAUUGAUACUGUAAGACUUGAAUGCUUAGGAAGUAACUAGAAUAUGUAGUGUAGCGGUGAAAUGCUUAGAUAUUACAUGGAAUACCAAUUGCGAAGGCAGGUUACUACUAAGUGAUUGACGCUGAUGGACGAAAGCGUGGGGAGCGAACAGGAUUAGAUACCCUGGUAG